AGGGAUAGUUGGGGGCAUUAGUACUUAACUGUCAGAAGGUGGAAUUCUCAGAUUUGUUAAAGACUGACUUAUGCGAAAGCAUUUGCCAAGGAUGUUUUCAUCAAUCAAGAACGAAAGU
This 118-nucleotide ribosomal RNA is filed under the name uncultured eukaryote. Its description in RNAcentral is "partial small subunit ribosomal RNA". It matches the Rfam family "Eukaryotic small subunit ribosomal RNA", at positions 874 to 990 of the family's 1831-position model. The record is from RNAcentral.